RNAcentral lists this ribosomal RNA (255 nucleotides) under uncultured bacterium. RNAcentral's name for it is "partial 16S ribosomal RNA". It matches the Rfam family "Bacterial small subunit ribosomal RNA", at positions 524 to 776 of the family's 1533-position model. The record is from RNAcentral.
UACGAAGGGGGCAAGCGUUGUUCGGAAUUACUGGGCGUAAAGGGCGCGCAGGCGGCCGAUCAAGUCAGAUGUGAAAGCCCCGGGCUCAACCUGGGAAUAGCAUUUGGGACUGGUCGGCUAGAGUUCGGGAGAGGAGAGUGGAAUUCCCAGUGUAGAGGUGAAAUUCGUAGAUAUUGGGAAGAACACCGGUGGCGAAGGUGGCUCACUGGCCCGUAACUGACGCUCAUGGCACGACAGCGUGGGGAUCAAAACAGG